GCUGAAUGGAUAGCUCAGUUGGUAGAGCAUGAGACUCUUAAUCUCAGGGUCAUGAGUUUGAGCCCUACCUUGGGCA
This is a non-coding RNA of Podarcis lilfordi (Lilford's wall lizard), 76 nucleotides long. The record is from the annotation of a GenBank genome assembly. NCBI's taxonomy places the organism in Eukaryota, Metazoa, Chordata, Lepidosauria, Squamata, Lacertidae.